This 579-nucleotide ribosomal RNA is filed under the name Triticum aestivum (bread wheat). RNAcentral describes it as "partial small subunit ribosomal RNA". Lineage: Eukaryota; Viridiplantae; Streptophyta; Magnoliopsida; Poales; Poaceae. The record is from RNAcentral.
AUGGCCUCCCUCACCAUACUCGUCUUUUGGACUAUUUGGAACGAGAGAAACGCGCGUGUGUUUCACAACGAGAGCACGCUGCCACCUAUCCUGCUCCAAAAUAUCGUGCUCGAGGCAAAACUAUGGGUUACGGCAGGUGCUAAGAGCAACUCUAGCAGACCCGCAUCCGCCCCCGACCCGCAAAAUAACCGCCAAAAUGCGGGUACGGGCUGGAAAACCUGCCCGACCAGACCCCGCAUCCUGCCACGGCCCGCAAAAUUUUUUGAGGGGCGCGGCAAAAUCCCGACCCCAACCCGGGAAAACGCGGGUUUCCCCCUCGCGGCUGCGGUGCCCUGCAUCAGAGAGAAGCAGAUGGCAGGAGGGACAUUCAGCCCCGUGCUCUUUUCCCAAUCCUUCCGUCGCUGCCCACCCGCCGCCCGCGAUUCCGGCCAUAUCUGCGGGCGGAAUCGCGCUACGGGGCCUGAUACGUCCAUUUUGCAUCAUGCUUUUAUAUCAAUAUUUAUUGCAUUAUGGGUUGUUAUUACACAUUAUGUCACAAUACUUAUGCCUAUUCUCUCUUAUUUUACAAGGUUUACAUAA